RNAcentral lists this transfer RNA (71 nucleotides) under Ilisha sirishai (lobejaw ilisha). Its description in RNAcentral is "tRNA-Gln". It matches the Rfam family "tRNA". Rfam says of the family: Transfer RNA (tRNA) molecules are approximately 80 nucleotides in length. Their secondary structure includes four short double-helical elements and three loops (D, anti-codon, and T loops). Lineage: Eukaryota; Metazoa; Chordata; Actinopteri; Clupeiformes; Pristigasteridae. The record is from RNAcentral.
UAGAAAAUGGUGUAGUGGAAGCACUCAGAGUUUUGAUCUCUGUCGGAUGGGUUCGAGUCCCUUUUUUCUAA